AUUGAACGCUGGCGGCAGGCCUAACACAUGCAAGUCGAGCGGAUGAAGGGAGCUUGCUCCUGGAUUCAGCGGCGGACGGGUGAGUAAUGCCUAGGAAUCUGCCUGGUAGUGGGGGAUAACGUCCGGAAACGGGCGCUAAUACCGCAUACGUCCUGAGGGAGAACGUGGGGGAUCUUCGGACCUCACGCUAUCAGAUGAGCCUAGGUCGGAUUAGCUAGUUGGUGGGGUAAAGGCCUACCAAGGCGACGAUCCGUAACUGGUCUGAGAGGAUGAUCAGUCACACUGGAACUGAGACACGGUCCAGACUCCUACGGGAGGCAGCAGGGGGGAAUAGUGGACAAUGGGCGAAAGCGUGAUCCAGUCAUGCCGCGUGGGUGAAGAAGGUCUUCGGAUUGUAAAGCAGUGUAAGUUGGGAGGAAAGGCAGUAGGUGAAUACCUGGCUGUGGUGACGUUACCGACAGAAGAAGCACCGGCUAACUACGUG
Molecule: ribosomal RNA, 484 nt
Filed under: uncultured bacterium
Lineage: Bacteria
Description: partial 16S ribosomal RNA
Rfam family: Bacterial small subunit ribosomal RNA
Source: RNAcentral